This 323-nucleotide ribosomal RNA is filed under the name uncultured eukaryote. RNAcentral describes it as "partial 18S ribosomal RNA". It matches the Rfam family "Eukaryotic small subunit ribosomal RNA", at positions 1470 to 1796 of the family's 1831-position model. The record is from RNAcentral.
CCCUUAGAUGUCCGGGGCCGCACGCGCGCUACACUGAAGGAAUCAGCGUGGCUCUGUCCCUGGUCCGAAAGGAUUGGGAAACCCGUUGAAUCUCCUUCGUGAUAGGGAUUGGGGCUUGGAACUGUUCCCCAUGAACGAGGAAUUCCCAGUAAGCGCGAGUCAUAAGCUCGCGUUGAUUACGUCCCUGCCCUUUGUACACACCGCCCGUCGCUACUACCGAUUGAACGGUCCGGUGAAAUCUCGGGACGGCGGCUUGGUCGCUUGCGUCCGACUGCUGAAACUUGAUUAAACCAUAUCAUUUAGAGGAAGGUGAANUCGUANCA